Molecule: long non-coding RNA, 294 nt
Organism: Mugil cephalus (flathead mullet)
Lineage: Eukaryota; Metazoa; Chordata; Actinopteri; Mugiliformes; Mugilidae
Exons: 2
Source: RefSeq, a predicted model, not a curated record
GGCGAGGAAGAGGAGGAGAACGGUGAGGAUGACAGCGUGGAGGGUGAUGCUACAGUCGGCUCCGUACCUCGGCCACCUGUGCGCCGGGGAGUCAUCAGAUCGUGGAGCCGGGGGUUCGAGGGUUAUCGGGCUCGACAGUACCGAAAGAAAUGCAAGUAUGGAGACGGGGAUUUUUUGACAAAUUAUUGUUUCCAUGGUGAAGAAGACACUGUCACAGAUCAAAAUCUCAUAACUGGUGGGUGUGGCUUUUUUUUUUUUUUUUCAAAUGCUGCAAAUAAAAUUAUCUGUGCCGCA